GACGAACGCUGGCGGCGUGCUUAACACAUGCAAGUCGAGCGAUGAAGCUCCUUCGGGAGCGGAUUAGCGGCGGACGGGUGAGUAACACGUGGGUAACCUGCCUCAUAGAGGGGAAUAGCCUUUCGAAAGGAAGAUUAACACCGCAUAAGAUUGUAGUGCCGCAUGGCAUAGCAAUUAAAGGAGUAAUCCGCUAUGAGAUGGACCCGCGUCGCAUUAGCUAGUUGGUGAGGUAACGGCUCACCAAGGCGACGAUGCGUAGCCGACCUGAGAGGGUGAUCGGCCACAUUGGGAGUGAGACACGGCCCAGACGCCUACGGGAGGCAGCAGUGGGGAAUAUUGCACAAUGGGGGAAACCCUGAUGCAGCAACGCCGCGUGAGUGAUGACGGUCUUCGGAUUGUAAAGCUCUGUCUUCAGGGACGAUAAUGACGGUACCUGAGGAGGAAGCCACGGCUAACUACGUGCCAGCCGCCGCCGUAA
Molecule: ribosomal RNA, 478 nt
Filed under: uncultured bacterium
Lineage: Bacteria
Description: partial 16S ribosomal RNA
Rfam family: Bacterial small subunit ribosomal RNA
Source: RNAcentral